This is a long non-coding RNA of Cavia porcellus (domestic guinea pig), 2014 nucleotides long. RefSeq lists it as uncharacterized. NCBI's taxonomy places the organism in Eukaryota, Metazoa, Chordata, Mammalia, Rodentia, Caviidae. The transcript has 3 exons. The record is from RefSeq and is a predicted model, not a curated record.
ACUGCUCACUGUACAUCCGGUGGAGUUUGAUGUGCAGUGAAUAAAUUUUAGGAUAAUUUACAGAAUAGAGACUGUAGCACAAACCCAUUUAAAGUAAAGACACUGAGUGGAGUGUGGUGGCACAGGCCUAUAAUCCCAGCACUCAGGAAGCUGAGGCAGGAGGAUCCUUAUGAAUUCGAGAUCAGCCUGUGCUACAAAGUGAGCUCAAGGCCAGCCUGAGCUGCAUAGCAAGACCCUGUCUCAAAAAACAAACAAAACAAAAUAAAAUAAAGAUACUGGGUUGAGGGAAAAUACUGUGCCCCCCCCCAAAAAAAGUGUGUGUGGAGAGAGAGCAGUGUCUGUGUGUGAGGUGUGAGGAGACCCAGUUUGACCCCCAGCUCUGCCGACCCUGCAUGGAGUGCAGGGCCCCCUCCCUGCCGGGCCCAGUCCUCAGCUGUGUGAUGAGAUUACUCACAGCUCCUGCCUUGCCCACCUCUGGAACCCAAGGAGGGGAUGAGCCCAUGAGUAAGAGUGCUUCGGCCAGGAAAACAAGUGCUUCCGUGUUCCCGUGUCGGCUCUCAACUGCCUUCAAGGUGUGUGUGCGUGUGUGUGUAGUACUGGGAUCACACCCAGGGCUCGUGAAAAUGACCUGUAACCCCAGCCCUGGGUGUGUGCCUUGUAUUUGUAUCUCUGUGCGCACACACACGUGCACACAGACACAGAGUAUGCACACAUAUAUCAAGUGUUACUCUCUACACAGACACACACAACCACACACAGAUAUUUACAGCAGCUUCUGUCAAGUGAAAAGAUGCCAAUAUGUCCUCAUCCACCUUAGGACAGAUCUGUCACUGAGCGACUUCCGGCUCUUCCCCAAACCCGAAAUGACUGGGAAGGGAAAACAUUUGAAUCAGUUCAAGACACUGAGGCAGCCACAGCAAAGCAGUUAAAGACACAUGACAGAGGGCUGCAGCCCUGCUUCAGAAAGUGACAAGAACGCAGGAUGAAGGGUCAGUGCCAGCAGGCUGAGGAUCUGCCCUGGAGCCAGGAAGCAACACUCAAGGCCAUAUGUGGUGGAUUAACUCAUGGUCAGUUUAUAACACCCAGCUGAACUGAAUCAGCGUGGCUCUGGACAUGAAAGGAUUUUUGCCAACAGCAUAAAAAGGGAACCGGAGAGGAAGAUAAUGCGCUGUUGAUUCUCCUGGAAAAGUUUGUCACACUGGCUCUCCUGAUAUGAAAGUUGUUCUCAUCGCUGGAGGAGCUCGGGUCAUCUCUGUCUCUGAGGAUGGCUGUGGUUCUCAUUGGGGGAGCUCUGGCCUUACCUUGAGUGUGGCUUCCUGGCUCCAGAGCAGAUCCCUCAGCCUGCCGGCACUGAUCCUUCAUCCUGUUGGUGCAGACUUUCUAGCUUCCACGCUGACCUUUGGGCCUUCCCAGUGCAGAUCCUUGAUACAGACUCACAUGAGACAUUGUCGGGGGCUCCAGGCCUCUAGCUGAACUCAUGGAGGACAUUGCCAUGGGAUCCGGGGCCUUAGUUGAUCCUUUGGUCUCUCGUGCAUGGACAGAUCACUUUUACUCUUCUGCAUUUGACUGGGUGAAUUUAUUUGUUUUGAGGGUUUUGUUUUGUUUUGUCUUUUUGAGACAUGGUCUCACAGUAAAGUUCAGGUUGGUCUUGGGCUCACUUUGCAGUCCAGGCUGGUCUCGAAUUUGCAAGGUUCCUCCUGCCUCAGCCUCUCAAGUGCUAGAACUAUAGGCAUGUGCCACCAUGCCUAGCUUUUUGGGUGAAUAUUAUAAAAUUCUAUAUAUUAUAUGUCCUGUAUUAAGUCUAUUCCCUUACAAACCCUGACUACAAUACCAUAAUAUAUGAAAAUGUGAACCUACACAUUCUGUCAAAAAAUACACACAAAUUCAGCAGUUCACCAUAGUAAUGAAAAUCUGGGAGCUAACGGCCACCACUAUGAGCACCUCUUGUAAUUGUAGAGACCAAAUGCAACAUGUAUUCAUCUCACAAUGUCUCAAUAAAUUUAGUAUUAAAAUA